GAUGAACGCUGGCGGCGUGCUUAACACAUGCAAGUCGAACGAUGAAGCCCAGCUUACUGAGUGGAUUAGUGGCGAACGGGUGAGUAACACGUGAGUAACCUGCCCUUGACUCUGGGAUAAGCCUUGGAAACUGGGUCUAAUACUGGAUAUGACUUCUCAUCGCAUGGUGGGGGGUGGAAAGAUUUAUUGGUCUUGGAUGGACUCGCGGCCUAUCAGCUUGUUGGUGAGGUAAUGGCUCACCAAGGCGACGACGGGUAGCCGGCCUGAGAGGGUGACCGGCCACACUGGGACUGAGACACGGCCCAGACUCCUACGGGAGGCAGCAGUGGGGAAUAUUGCACAAUGGGCGCAAGCCUGAUGCAGCGACGCCGCGUGAGGGAUGACGGCCUUCGGGUUGUAAACCUCUUUCAGUAGGGAAGAAGCGAGAGUGACGGUACCUGCAGAAGAAGCGCCGGCUAACUACGUG
This 466-nucleotide ribosomal RNA is filed under the name uncultured bacterium. RNAcentral's name for it is "partial 16S ribosomal RNA". It matches the Rfam family "Bacterial small subunit ribosomal RNA", at positions 28 to 507 of the family's 1533-position model. The record is from RNAcentral.